Molecule: ribosomal RNA, 292 nt
Filed under: uncultured bacterium
Lineage: Bacteria
Description: partial 16S ribosomal RNA
Rfam family: Archaeal small subunit ribosomal RNA
Source: RNAcentral
GUGCCAGCCGCCGCGGUAAUACCGGCAGCCCAAGUGAUGGCCGAUCUUAUUGGGCCUAAAGCGUCCGUAGCUGGGUCUGAAAGUCCAUCGGGAAAUCCACUCGCUCAACGAGUGGCCGUCCGGUGGAAACUCCACACCUUGGGACCGGAAGGCUCGAAGGGUACGGCCGGGGUAGGAGUGAAAUCCUAUAAUCCCGCACGGACCACCGAUGGCGAAAGCACUUCGAGAAAACGGAUCCGACAGUGAGGGACGAAUGCCAGGGUCUCCAACCGGAUUAGAAACCCGUGUGUCC